RNAcentral lists this transfer RNA (87 nucleotides) under Spiribacter sp. RNAcentral's name for it is "tRNA-Leu". It matches the Rfam family "tRNA". Rfam says of the family: Transfer RNA (tRNA) molecules are approximately 80 nucleotides in length. Their secondary structure includes four short double-helical elements and three loops (D, anti-codon, and T loops). Lineage: Bacteria; Pseudomonadati; Pseudomonadota; Gammaproteobacteria; Chromatiales; Ectothiorhodospiraceae. The record is from RNAcentral.
GCCGGGGUGGCGGAACUGGUAGACGCGCCGGAUUCAAAAUCCGGUUCUCGAAAGAGAGUGCGGGUUCGAUUCCCGCCCCCGGCACCA